This 76-nucleotide ribosomal RNA is filed under the name Actinoplanes awajinensis subsp. mycoplanecinus. RNAcentral describes it as "partial 23S ribosomal RNA". Lineage: Bacteria; Bacillati; Actinomycetota; Actinomycetes; Micromonosporales; Micromonosporaceae. The record is from RNAcentral.
ACAGUGGACGCGAGCAUCUUGUUUUUUGUGGUUAAGUUGUCAAGGGCGAACGGUGGAUGCCUUGGCACCAGGAGCC